Molecule: ribosomal RNA, 274 nt
Filed under: uncultured bacterium
Lineage: Bacteria
Description: partial 16S ribosomal RNA
Rfam family: Bacterial small subunit ribosomal RNA
Source: RNAcentral
AUACGGAGGGGGCAAGCGUUGUUCGGAGUUACUGGGCGUAAAGCGCGCGUAGGCGGUUUGCUCAGUCGGAUGUGAAAGCCCAGGGCUCAACCUUGGAACUGCAUACGAUACUGGCAAACUAGAGUGUGAGAGAGGAUAGUGGAAUUUCCGGUGUAGCGGUGAAAUGCGUAGAUAUCGGAAGGAACAUCAGUGGCGAAGGCGACUGUCUGGCUCAACACUGACGCUGAGGUGCGAAAGCGUGGGUAGCAAACAGGAUUAGAAACCCUAGUAGUCC